RNAcentral lists this ribosomal RNA (467 nucleotides) under uncultured bacterium. RNAcentral's name for it is "bacterial SSU rRNA". It matches the Rfam family "Bacterial small subunit ribosomal RNA", at positions 339 to 797 of the family's 1533-position model. The record is from RNAcentral.
GUACGGGAGGCAGCAGUGGGGAAUUUUGGACAAUGGGGGCAACCCUGAUCCAGCCAUGCCGCGUGAGUGAAGAAGGCCUUCGGGUUGUAAAGCUCUUUCGGUAGGAACGAAACGGUUACGACUAAUACUCGUGACUAAUGACGGUACUUACAGAAGAAGCACCGGCUAACUACGUGCCAGCAGCCGCGGUAAUACGUAGGGUGCGAGCGUUAAUCGGAAUUACUGGGCGUAAAGCGUGCGCAGGCGGUUAUUUAAGUCAGGUGUGAAAGCCCUGGGCUUAACCUAGGAAUUGCGCUUGAGACUGGAUAGCUUGGAGUGCGGCAGAGGGAGGUGGGAUUCCACGUGUAGCAGUGAAAUGCGUAGAGAUGUGGAGGAACACCGAUGGCGAAGGCAGCCUCCUGGGCCAGCACUGACGCUCAUGCACGAAAGCGUGGGGAGCAAACAGGAUUAGAAACCCCAGUAGUCCU